AGCCUCGAGGUGUAAUGACACGUAAGAUUGCAAAUCUUGAGUCGCGAAUUAGUGUUCGCUGGGGCUU
This 67-nucleotide transfer RNA is filed under the name Promethichthys prometheus. Its description in RNAcentral is "tRNA-Cys". The record is from RNAcentral. Lineage: Eukaryota; Metazoa; Chordata; Actinopteri; Scombriformes; Gempylidae.